GCCGCAUCUGUGGCAUAUGGAAGUUCCCAGGCUAAGGUUCAAAUAUGAACUGCAGCUGAGACCUCUGCCACAGCCACAGCAACACCAUAUCCAAGUCGCAUGUGUGACCUAUGCCACAGCUUGUGACAACACCAGAUCCUUAACCCACUGAUCGAUGCCAGGGAUUGAACCCUCAUCCUCACGGACACUAUAUUGGGAUCUUAAUCCAUUGAGUCACAAUAGGAACUCUGACCCCAUGGAAUUUUCUUGUUGUUGUUGUUUUUCAAAGACAAUUGCUUCUUCCUGGAUUGGUAUUGUGUGAGAGGGGUUCAGGGCUAAAAUGAAUAGAUCUCUAACCAAAGAUCUUAAUAGGGAUAAAAAUUACUUUUGACAAAUCCCACUCUAAAUCAUUGUAGUGGGCAACUCUGAGCACCAAAAACGAACAAGAGUUACAAUGUCUGAGGGCUUUGUCUCCUUUGUCAACAAGAAUAUGUGGUUUAGAGGUACAAGCCACCAACCAGUGACCCCCUGGAAGGCCACCACCAAGAGAGCUGCUUCCUGACUCCAGUUCUGGGUGACCCUGUCUGUGGCUUGCUGAGGAGUCUACUGAUGUUCUACCCUAACUCCCACCCUUGCUGCUGUUAUUCCCCUGAGUAACAGAACCCUGAGUUUAUUUCAGGCAACAGUGUACCCAACUAAACAGGUCCCAGCCUUCCUUCCAGCUAAGUGUGGCCAUGUGGUUAGAGUCUGCCCAAUGAGGUAUAAGCUGAGAAGUUGUCAGUGGAUUCCAGAAAGUCUCAUUAAAAGGGAGGGGACCCUUUUACCUCUUUUCACUGCUCCUUCCUGUUGCCUGGAAUGAGGUGAUGGUUGCUGAGCUCAAGCAGCCAUCUUGGACUUAGAUGAUGCGAGGAGGAAAGCUUCCUGGUGGCAGAGUUCCCACUGGGGCUCAGCAGGUUCAAAACCCAAUGUAGUCUCUGUAAGGAUGCGGCUUCGAUGCCUGGCCUCACUCAGUGGGUUAAGGAUCUAGUGUUGCCACAAGCUGUAGCAUAGCUUGCAGAUGUGGCUUGAAUCUGAUAUUGCUGUGGCUGUAGCGCAGGCUGGCAGCUGCAGCUCUGAUUUGACCCCUAGCCCAGGAACUUCCAUAUGCUGCAGGUGCAGCUGUAAAAAGAAAAAAAAAAACAACCCCAAAAAACAAAAAACUUCUUGCUACUCUUUAAGGGUCUUUGUCAUCGUCAGCAGAUGCAGUUUCUAACUGAUAUGUGGAAGCUCACUGGGCCUCAUUUUGUGGAAGGGCAAAGGUGUCCACAGUUCCUCUAAGCCAACUGCUACUUCUGCUCUCUCUGGAAGAAUCAUCCUGCCCAAGAGGGCCCAAUUCUUUCACAACUUUC
RNAcentral lists this long non-coding RNA (1367 nucleotides) under Sus scrofa (pig). RNAcentral's name for it is "lncRNA (ENSSSCG00015030113.1)". The record is from RNAcentral. Lineage: Eukaryota; Metazoa; Chordata; Mammalia; Artiodactyla; Suidae.